GGGGGCAUAAAGAGACCUGGGGUCCAAGAAGGGCUAUUUCACAACAGAGAAAUAUCAUUCUGAUUGCCUUUUAGAAAAGAAAACAUCUAUGCCCUUUGUAUGCAUGUGAUGACUUCUCUACUCCAGUCUUUAAAAGGGUUUAUAUGAAGAAAAAAAAAGUGCCAUAAAUAAAUUCUUCACCCUUCUUAAUCCUGAAUAACAGAAUUCAGGACUAAGAGCAUGAGACUGAACUGAGCACAAAACCCAAUAUCUUAUGUUCUGAUUUCAUCAAAUAGCAGCAGAAUGAGCAUAAUGGAUGCUAAAGACUCUGGGAGACAGCAAAUCGAUGGAAAUAAAGGACGAAUUCUAUAAACAGCAACUGUAUUUCCAGAACAAUUUACAUGGCUACCAUAUUACCUGGUCCUCCCACAGUGGCAACAGGGUGGGGGUGGGGGGCGGGGGGAGGGUGUCCAGGAGGAUUAAAACCAUCAAAAGGCCACAUGAACUCCCCAAAUGGGAAGGGGUCACAUGGCCUGCAAGCUGGUGAUACUCCAGGGUCCUAGCUGGCUGCAGCUGUCCCUGUCUGGUCUCGGAAAGCCACCAUUGCCGGAAGCCCCGAGGUCUGCCCCCCAGAAAGGGCAGCCCAAGCUCCCAGAGGUAGCCCUGGUUGCCCAUGCCUGGAGGUCUCUGGUCUCCGUCUGGGAAACAGAACGCCCCACUCUGCACUUCCCCACACAGCGCUCAUUUGUAAACAGGAAUGUGAGUCAUUAGGCAAGCAGGAGUCCAUUUUCAAGAUCGGCCCAGCUUUACAACUAAGGUAAUCUCAUUCUGCCUUGUCACAGCGGUGACUCACCUUACUGUCUCCCAUCAGAGGUGACAUGGUUUAACCCUCCAACUGUUCCUGGAAGGAACCCAGCAAUAUGAGGGUUGAAAUCCCUGUCUGCUCACUCUGUUUUCUAACAAGGUGCUGAGAGCAAAGAGGCAAGGCCCCCAAGGGCAAGUGUCCCAGAGGAGUUUGGGAAAGAAAUGUAUCUAAGGUUACCAUAGACCACGGCAUCUUUAUUGUCUUCCCAUGGCCUUUCCUCGGGUCUAUACUCCCACAGGGGCCUGUGGCUUAUGCGGAUAUGUUACUUACACACACACACACACACACACACACACACACACACACACACACACACUUACACACACACCCCUCCAUCUAAAACCCAGAUCUGCCAUUCCUGGGAACCUCAGAGCCAAAUCUGCAGGUCAUUUCAACCAAUUCUGUAGGAGCUCCUAGCUUCGAAAUGUGUAAAAUUAUCCUUAUUCCCUUCUUGUCUUCUGGGCGUACCCUGGUUUUCUUUUUUUCUCAUUUCUUUAAAUGUUCAUUUCCAAUCUUUUGGUAUAACGUAAAGUCUUCUAAGCCACUUCAAAUUUUGGAGGAU
This is a long non-coding RNA of Herpailurus yagouaroundi (jaguarundi), 1406 nucleotides long. RefSeq lists it as uncharacterized. NCBI's taxonomy places the organism in Eukaryota, Metazoa, Chordata, Mammalia, Carnivora, Felidae. The transcript is spliced from 2 exons. The record is from RefSeq and is a predicted model, not a curated record.